AACAUCGCGCACCUGCGGGAACCUGCGGAAGGAUCAUUACAGAGAUUGAUGCACCAAGUGCAUCACCUCCAACCCCUUGCGAAAACAACUAUCAUGUGUUGCUUUGGCAGUGUUUCCACUGCCAGAGGUUUACAUAAAAUCAGCUGUUGGAUGUUGUCUGAGUAAACUAUAUGAAUUAUUUAAAACUUUCAGCAACGGAUCU
This 202-nucleotide unclassified non-coding RNA is filed under the name soil metagenome. RNAcentral's name for it is "partial contains 5.8S ribosomal RNA, internal transcribed spacer 2, and large subunit ribosomal RNA". The record is from RNAcentral.